Molecule: ribosomal RNA, 237 nt
Filed under: Triticum aestivum (bread wheat)
Lineage: Eukaryota; Viridiplantae; Streptophyta; Magnoliopsida; Poales; Poaceae
Description: partial small subunit ribosomal RNA
Source: RNAcentral
AUGGCUACACACCCCAUCAAGGUGUUGGUGUGGAAUGUCCGUGGUCUCAACGACCCGGCACGGAGAAGUGCGAUAUACAAAGUGGUCUCGGUGGCCAAUCCUAGCAUAGUUUGUUUUCGAGAAACUAAAAUGGAACUUGUAAACCAGGGUGUGGUGGCACACUGUUUGGGAAAUAAACUAGCGAGUUUCUACUAUCUCCCGGCUUCUGGCACUCGAGGUGGCAUUCUUCUGGCCUAG